UACAGAGGUCCCAAGCGUUGUUCGGAUUCACUGGGCGUAAAGGGUUCGUAGGUGGUUAGGCAAGUCCGAUGUGAAAUCUCCAGGCUCAACCUGGAAAUGGCAUUGGAUACUAUCUAGCUUGAGGAGUGGAGGGGGGACUGGAAUUCUCGGUGUAGCAGUGAAAUGCGUAGAUAUCGAGAGGAACACCAGUGGCGAAGGCGAGUCCCUGGACACGUCCUGACACUGAGGCACGAAAGCUAGGGGAGCAAACAGG
RNAcentral lists this ribosomal RNA (253 nucleotides) under uncultured bacterium. Its description in RNAcentral is "partial 16S ribosomal RNA". It matches the Rfam family "Bacterial small subunit ribosomal RNA", at positions 524 to 776 of the family's 1533-position model. The record is from RNAcentral.